Molecule: ribosomal RNA, 253 nt
Filed under: uncultured bacterium
Lineage: Bacteria
Description: partial 16S ribosomal RNA
Rfam family: Bacterial small subunit ribosomal RNA
Source: RNAcentral
UACGUAGGGGGCGAGCGUUGUCCGGAAUCAUUGGGCGUAAAGCGCGUGUAGGCGGCCCGGUAAGUCCGCUGUGAAAGUCCAGGGCUCAACCCUGGGAUGCCGGUGGAUACUGUCGGGCUCGAGUCCGGAAGAGGCGAGUGGAAUUCCUGGUGUAGCGGUGAAAUGCGCAGAUAUCAGGAGGAACACCAAUGGCGAAGGCAGCUCGCUGGGACGUGACUGACGCUGAGGCGCGAAAGCGUGGGGAGCAAAUAGG